This 253-nucleotide ribosomal RNA is filed under the name uncultured bacterium. RNAcentral describes it as "partial 16S ribosomal RNA". It matches the Rfam family "Bacterial small subunit ribosomal RNA", at positions 524 to 776 of the family's 1533-position model. The record is from RNAcentral.
UACGUAGGGUGCAAGCGUUAUUCGGAAUUACUGGGCGUAAAGCGUGCGCAGGCGGCUUUGUAAGUCAGAUGUGAAAUCCCCGGGCUCAACCUGGGAACUGCAUUUGUGACUGCAUGGCUGGAGUGCGGCAGAGGUGGAUGGAAUUCCGCGUGUAGCAGUGAAAUGCGUAGAUAUGCGGAGGAACACCGAUGGCGAAGGCAAUCCCCUGGGCCUGCACUGACGCUCAGGCACGAAAGCGUGGGGAGCAAACAGG